Chionomys nivalis (European snow vole) is the source of this 486-nucleotide non-coding RNA. The record is from the annotation of a RefSeq genome assembly. NCBI's taxonomy places the organism in Eukaryota, Metazoa, Chordata, Mammalia, Rodentia, Cricetidae.
AUGAACAUGCUUCCUAACACUUGCUCUGUCCUGGUGCUCCUGUUAAUGCUCAGGAGGAGCAAUGGAGACUCAGUGACCCCGACAGAAGGCCUGGUUACUGUCACAGAGGGGUUGUCUGUGAAGCUGAACUGUACCGAUCAGACUACUGAUUCAGCCCAUUUCCUUUUCUGGUACGUGCAAUAUGUCAAAGCCCCUUGGCUCCUGCUGAGGAGCUCCACAGAUGACAAGAGGACAGAGCAUCAAGUUUUCCAUGCCACUCUCCAUGAGAGCAGCAGCUCCUUCCCCAGGCAGAGGUCCUCAGUGCAGCUGUGGGACUCUGCCCUGUACUACUGUGCUCUGAGUGACACAGGGAGGGAGACUGCAGGGGAAGCUGCACACAAACCAAGGGGGCUGAGGGCUGAGGGGAGUGGCCCUAAGAUGAGAACCAUUUUUGCUUUUACACCAAAAUGGUUUCAUGGACCAAGGUCUCCUGAAAUGUGGCCGUGA